UGUAUGUUUGGAGUUCCGAGCCUUGGAAUAGGUUCAUAUCGUGAUUUGUGACUUGCAUGUAAAGUUUGGCAUCAUUCCAAGAUGUUUAAGUGUAAUUCAGACGUGUUCGGUAAAAUUUGAAGGUUGGAAAGUUCAAAGAAAGGUUUUGGCCGUUGAUUCAUAAUUUUGAUGUUGUUUGACGUGAUUUGAGGUUUUGACUAAGUCUGUAUCGUGUUUUGGGAUGUGUCGGUAUGUUUGUAUUGGGUCCCGGGGGCCUCAGGUGCGAAUCAGAUUGGAAACAGAUCGAGUUUGGACUUGGGAUAAUUGCUGAAGUUUAAGGCUUUUGGUGUGAUCGCACAUGUGAGGAUAUGGCCGCAGGUGCGAGACCGCAAAAGCGGCCCAGGGGUCGCAGAAGCGGUCCAGGGAUAGUAGAAGCGGUUGGUGAUUGAGGCUGGUUGGAUUCACAGGUGCGAUGAAUUAACCGCACCUGCGGGCUCGCAGAUGCGGGCGGAGGAGCGCAAAAGAGGAAGUGGUCAGGACUGGAGGAGUGUAGGUGCGGGUGUGGUAGUGCACCUGCGGAGCUGCAUGUGCGGUCAUGGGCGAGCAUGUGCAGAGUGUUGCUCGAGCUGGGGAGUCCACAUAUAUGGGGGAUUUCCGCAGAAGCGGAUGCGCAUCUACGAUUGAGUGUCCACAUAAGCAAAAAAAACUGGAACCUUGGGGAAACGCAUCAUGAGGUAGCUUCCGCAGAAGCGGGGCUGCAGAAGUGCAAGGGAUUCCGCAGGUGCAGAAAAUUGACUGGGUAGAUUGUUUAAUAAUCAGGAUUUUUCUCAUAGCGUUGCUUGUGAAGGAGUCAUCGGGCAUUGGAUGUUAAUACUCUAUUAUUCCAUAUGGGUUGUAAGAGGCUUGAUUAUUCGCACAUGUGUUGAGGUCCCGUGUAGCUUGUGGUGUUAUAUGAGCAGGAUGGCUCUCGAGAUGCAGGUCAUUUAUCGCACCUUAGUUAUGCUUAGGUUUUGUAGCGUUUGGCGCUAUCCGUCUCCCCAGGGUUAUAUUUUGCACUUGGCGUGCUUGUGGUCGAUAUUCAGUAUUUCAUAAGUAUAAGCAUUAUGUCUUGAUGGGUAUUUCCUUAUAUAUUAUUAUGUGUGGAUCGGGUGGCACACCGCCACGGGUAUGUUGUUUGGGUUGGGUUGCACGCCGCAAUGGUAUCAUGUGUGGAUCGGGUUGCACGCCGCAACAGUGAGAUGUUGAGUGCGGUUCCCUAUAUACAUUCUUGUGUAUGUUGUUUCUCAUCCUCUAAGAAGAGUUCAUGGCUUCUUUUUGGUUGUUUUAUUUGUUACGCGGCUGGGUAGUUCUUUUUCCAGAAUCCGUUCUUCCUUAUGUGUCAUAUUCCGGUGGUAGCUUAUUGGUGCAUUGAUUUCGUCAUAUGAGAUCUUGGUCAGUGUUUGAGGUGGCUUAUUGCCUGAGCAGCUUGUACUAGGUGAGACGUGGCUAUUGGACCUGAAAUCGAUGCGAUCCGAUUUAUGCAAGGUGUAUUGUGUAGGGUAUUGAUUUGGCGGGUGGUUAUGAGUUCCUACGCAUCUCUUUCAUCGUUGCAGUAUUGUGAGGAUUGAAACCGGGCUUAUAUGUCUUAUGAGGUAUGCUACGGGAGCCGGGUCAAUGAAUUUGCAGUUGUUGUUCUUGGAGGAGGUUGCCUUGGUCAAAUGAGUUAUGCGGUGCAUUGUGUGGGGUCACCAUGGGUACAUGAUCAUGUGUGGGUUCAGCAUGUGGGGAUUGAUAUGGUGUUCGUAUGUUAGAUACAGGUCUUGUAAAGAAAUUCGGAAGUUGGAAUUUGGAUCUAAGGCUUAUUAACUAAAUAAAAAGGAGGAUCUAUAGUCUGGCUCGAGCUAACGUAUUCACCUGGGUUGUGGUGGCACGGGUUGGUGCACGAGGUGUUGAGUAGUGAUUUUGAGGCAACUCCAGAGCAUUUCUUAGCACGUUCGAGGACGAACAUAGAAUGUAAUGACCCGACCUGUCAUUUUGAGCUCUAGUGCGACGUUCGGCAGUUUGAGGCCUUAAGUAGUUUCACUUCAUGUUUUAUGACUUGUACGCAUGGUCGAAAUUUAAUUUCGGGAAGUUCGGAGUUGAUUUGGAAGGAAAAUUCGAAUUUCGGAAGCUUUAAGUUGGAAGAAUUGACUAAGGUUUGACUUGUGAGUAAACGACCUCGGAAUCGGGAUUUCAAGGUUCUAAUAGGUUCAUAUGAUGAUUUCUUACUUAGGCGUAUGUUCGGGUUGAAUAUUGGGUGGACCGGAAGCAUUUCGGCACUUAUUAUGGAAGGUUAGCAUUUUGGAAGUUUAUGAAUUUCUUAAGUUCGAUUUGAAAGAAAUUUUCGUGUAAUCGAUGUCUGUUUGGAGUUUCGAGCCUUGGAAUAGGUUUGUAUCGUGAUUUAUGACUUGCACGUAAAGUUUGACGUCAUUCCGGGAUGUUUAAGUGUAAGUCGGACGCGUUCGGCGAAGUUUGAAGGUUGAAAAGUUGAAAGAAAAGUUUUGACCGUCGAUUCAUAAUUUCGACAUUGUUUGACUUGAUUUGAGGAUUCGACUAAGUCCUUAUCGUGUUUUGUGAUGUGUCGGUAUGUUUGGUGACGGAUUGCUGAAGCUUAAGGCUUGGAAAUCCGUCACCAAGCCUCGGGUGCGAAUCAGAUUGGAAACGGUUCGAGUUUGGACUUGGGGGAAUUGCUGAAGCUUAAGGCUUCUGGUAUGAUCACAUCUGCAAGGUUAUGGCCGCAGGUAUGAGACCGUAGAAGCGGCUCAGGGGUUGCAGAAGCGAUUGGGGAUUGAGGUUGGUUGGAUUCGCAGAUGCGAGGAAUAUACCGCACCUACGGGCUCGCAGAUGUGGGUGGAGUAGCGCAAAAGCGGAAGUGGUCUGGACUGGAAGAGCGCAGGUGCAGAUGUGGUAGCGCACCUGCGGAGCCGCAGGUGCGGUCAUGGGCGCGCAGGUGUGGAGUGUUGCUCGAGCGGGGGAGUCCGGAAAUGCGGGAGAUUUUCGCAGAAGCGGAUGCACAUCUGCGAUUGAGUGUCCGCAGAAGCGGAAAAAUCUGUCACCUUGGGAGAAAUGC
RNAcentral lists this long non-coding RNA (3067 nucleotides) under Nicotiana tabacum (common tobacco). Its description in RNAcentral is "long non-coding RNA (NTAB_LNC012597)". The record is from RNAcentral. Lineage: Eukaryota; Viridiplantae; Streptophyta; Magnoliopsida; Solanales; Solanaceae.